This 84-nucleotide transfer RNA is filed under the name Gemmatimonadota bacterium. RNAcentral's name for it is "Gemmatimonadetes bacterium (groundwater metagenome) tRNA-Val". It matches the Rfam family "tRNA". Rfam says of the family: Transfer RNA (tRNA) molecules are approximately 80 nucleotides in length. Their secondary structure includes four short double-helical elements and three loops (D, anti-codon, and T loops). Lineage: Bacteria; Pseudomonadati; Gemmatimonadota. The record is from RNAcentral.
GCGGGUGUGGCGGAACUGGCAGACGCAGCACGCUCACAACGUGUGGGGCGAAAGCCCGUGAGGGUCCGAAUCCCUCCACCCGCA